RNAcentral lists this ribosomal RNA (497 nucleotides) under uncultured bacterium. RNAcentral's name for it is "partial 16S ribosomal RNA". It matches the Rfam family "Bacterial small subunit ribosomal RNA", at positions 28 to 507 of the family's 1533-position model. The record is from RNAcentral.
GAUGAACGCUGGCGGCGUGCCUAAUACAUGCAAGUCGAGCGAACGGACGAGAAGCUUUCUUCUCUGAUGUUAGCGGCGGACGGGUGAGUAACACGUGGAUAACCUACCUAUAAGACUGGGAUAACUUCGGGAAACCGGAUCUAAUACCGGAUAAUAUUUUGAACCGCAUGGUUCAAAAGUGAAAGACGGUCUUGCUGUCACUUAUAGAUGGAUCCGCGCUGCAUUAGCUAGUUGGUACGGUAACGGCUUACCAAGGCAACGAUGCAUAGCCGACCUGAGAGGGUGAUCGGCCACACUGGAACUGAGACACGGUCCAGACUCCUACGGGAGGCAGCAGUAGGGAAUAUUCCGCAAUGGGCGAAAGCCUGACGGAGCAACGCCGCGUGAGUGAUGAAGGUCUUCGGAUCGUAAAGCUCUGUUAGUAGGGAAGAACAUAUGUGUAAGUAACUGUGCACAUCUUGACGGUACCUACUCAGAAAGCCACGGCUAACUACGUG